Molecule: non-coding RNA, 95 nt
Organism: Acanthosepion pharaonis
Lineage: Eukaryota; Metazoa; Mollusca; Cephalopoda; Sepiida; Sepiidae
Source: the annotation of a GenBank genome assembly
GUUAAAACACCGGUUCCCGUACGAUAUACGAAGUUAAGCAACGUUGUCUGAUAAAUACCUAGAUGGGUGACCGCCUGGGAAGACCAGUUGCAGUA